Non-coding RNA from Pelobates cultripes (western spadefoot toad), 258 nucleotides. The record is from the annotation of a GenBank genome assembly. NCBI's taxonomy places the organism in Eukaryota, Metazoa, Chordata, Amphibia, Anura, Pelobatidae.
CCGGUACACAGAGCUUCAAUCUAUACCUGUCAUAUAAGGAGAAUAAUUGGAUAGUUUGCGUUUUAGCAGUUCUUGGAGUUGCCAGGCAAAUUGUAUGCCUAUAUAUGUGCAAAAUAAAAAUAAAACAGACAGAAAAUCACUCAACGUCAGGGAAUACAGAAUAGAUGGGCGUUCUUAUUCUUAAGAAUGGCAAAAUGACCAAAAGUUUUGUAUGUAGUGUUGGAGUUUGAAUACUGAGAUGUAAGCACAUAUACUGCC